Molecule: ribosomal RNA, 253 nt
Filed under: uncultured bacterium
Lineage: Bacteria
Description: partial 16S ribosomal RNA
Rfam family: Bacterial small subunit ribosomal RNA
Source: RNAcentral
UACGGGGGGGGCAAGCGUUGUUCGGAAUUACUGGGCGUAAAGGGCUCGUAGGCGGCCAACUAAGUCAGACGUGAAAUCCCCCGGCUUAACCAGGGAACUGCGUCUGAUACUGGAUGGCUUGAGAUUGGGAGAGGGAUGCGGAAUUCCAGGUGUAGCGGUGAAAUGCGUAGAUAUCUGGAGGAACACCGGUGGCGAAGGCGGCAUCCUGGACCGACACUGACGCUGAGGAGCGAAAGCCAGGGGAGCAAACGGG